GACGAACGCUGGCGGCGUGCUUAACACAUGCAAGUCGAACGGGCCUGCCCUUUUGUGGGUGGGGUGAGUGGGGAACGGGCGGGGAUCACGUGAGUAACCUGGCCCCCGUGCCCGGAUAACGCACUGAAAGGGGUGCUAAUACGGGGUGGGAUGGCGGUGCUGCGUGGUGGCGCCGGGAUAGGUGCCGCUUUCUUUGGGGGUGUGGUGGGGGAUGGGCUGGCGGGCUAUGAGCUUGUUGGUGGGGGGCUGGCCGACCAAGGCGGUGAUGGGCAGCCGGCCUGGGGGGGUGGGCGGCCGCACUGGGCCUGCGACACGGCCCAGCCUCCUGCGGGAGGCAGCAGUGGGGGGUAUUGCGCAAUGGGCGGAAGCCUGACGCAGCGACGCCGCGUGAGGGACGGAGGCCUUCGGGUUGUGAACCUCUUUCGCCGGUGGAGACGGCGCCCCCGUGUGGGGUGCUGACUGUGGCCGGGUUAAGAAGCGCCGGCUAACUACGUG
Molecule: ribosomal RNA, 495 nt
Filed under: uncultured bacterium
Lineage: Bacteria
Description: partial 16S ribosomal RNA
Rfam family: Bacterial small subunit ribosomal RNA
Source: RNAcentral